CCUACGGGGGGCUGCAGUCGAGAAUAUUCCACAAUGGACGAAAGUCUGAUGGAGCGACGCCGCGUGCAGGAAGACGGCCCUCGGGUUGUAAACUGCUUUUCUCAGGGAAGAAUUACGAUGACUGUACCUGAGGAAUAAGAGGUUACUAACUCUGUGCCAGCAGUAGCGGUAAUACAGAGACCUCAAGCGUUAUCCGGAUUUAUUGGGCGUAAAGCGCAGGUAGGCGGACAUGUUAGUCGGAUGUCAAAUAUCCCGGCUCAACCGGGAACAGGCAUUCGAAACGGCAUGUCUCGAGAUAGCGAGAAAUCAGUGGAAUUCACGGUGUAGUAGUGAAAUGCGUUGAUAUCGUGAGGAACACCAAAGGCGAAGGCAACUGAUUAGCGCUGUUCUGACGCUGAGCUGCGAAAGCGUGGGGAGCGAAUGGGAUUAGAUACCCCAGUAGUC
This 444-nucleotide ribosomal RNA is filed under the name uncultured bacterium. RNAcentral describes it as "bacterial SSU rRNA". It matches the Rfam family "Bacterial small subunit ribosomal RNA", at positions 338 to 795 of the family's 1533-position model. The record is from RNAcentral.